Molecule: long non-coding RNA, 388 nt
Organism: Grammomys surdaster
Lineage: Eukaryota; Metazoa; Chordata; Mammalia; Rodentia; Muridae
Exons: 3
Source: RefSeq, a predicted model, not a curated record
CAGGCUGGCCUCAAACAAUGGUGGUUUUUAAAUGGGGUGACUUUGCCAACCGAGAGCACACCUGACACUAUCUGAAAACAGUUUUCAUGAUCACAGCUGGAGUGUGAGGGUGCAGAUGGUAUCCAGGAUGCUGCUGAGCUUCCCCACAGGAAGUGGGACAGCCCCCACAAUGAAGAUGGUCAUGUCUGAAACAUCACCAGUGUACAGACAGAGAGAUAAUACUAUCAGAACCAUGAAAUCCUGAGCAGAUCUGUGACUCAGCCUUCAGAGGAGAAGACAAACACAUUAUCAGGACGUUUAACACCCGAAAGACUACAGACAGAACCACCAUGACUCACAUAGCAGAGCCAACUGUUUCACCUCACAUACUCCGAAUCUCACCAUCCCA